RNAcentral lists this ribosomal RNA (491 nucleotides) under uncultured bacterium. RNAcentral describes it as "partial 16S ribosomal RNA". It matches the Rfam family "Bacterial small subunit ribosomal RNA", at positions 30 to 506 of the family's 1533-position model. The record is from RNAcentral.
AGUGAACGCUGGCGGUAGGCCUAACACAUGCAAGUCGAACGGCAGCACAGUAAGAGCUUGCUCUUACGGGUGGCGAGUGGCGGACGGGUGAGGAAUACAUCGGAACCUACUUUUUCGUGGGGGAUAACGUAGGGAAACUUACGCUAAUACCGCAUACGACCUACGGGUGAAAGCAGGGGAUCUUCGGACCUUGCGCGAUUGAAUGAGCCGAUGUCGGAUUAGCUAGUUGGCGGGGUAAAGGCCCACCAAGGCGACGAUCCGUAGCUGGUCUGAGAGGAUGAUCAGCCCCAUGGGAAGUGAGAAACGGCCCAGCCCCCUAGGGGGGGGAGCAGGGGGGAAUAUUGGACAAGGGGGGCAAGCUUGAACCAGCCAUCCCGGGGGGGUGAAGAAGGCCUUGGGGUGGUAAAGCCCUUUUGUUGGGAAAAAAAAGCAGCGGGUUAAUACCCCGGUGUUCGGAGGGUACCCAAAAAAAAAGCACCGGCUAAUUUCGU